UAGCUCAGUCAGUUGAGCGUAGCGCUAACAAUGCUAAGGUUGUGGGUUUGAUUCCUGU
RNAcentral lists this transfer RNA (58 nucleotides) under Apaloderma vittatum (bar-tailed trogon). It matches the Rfam family "tRNA", at positions 8 to 63 of the family's 71-position model. From Rfam's summary of the family: Transfer RNA (tRNA) molecules are approximately 80 nucleotides in length. Lineage: Eukaryota; Metazoa; Chordata; Aves; Trogoniformes; Trogonidae. The record is from Rfam by way of RNAcentral.